ACUAAAAAUGUGGUUUAUCACGUGCAAGUAAGAGACCAGACAUUGAGUUGGAUAAAGAGCGUUAUAGAAUAGAAGGCCAUUACAAAUGGUGAAAAAAAGCAUCUGUUGCAAAAGGUAUGUCCAUCAUCAACAAUUAUCACCAUAUUGAUCGUUACAUCAGUUUAUUCCAAUACAAAUACAUUAUCACUAACAAUCUUCAAGCUUACCUUUGAUCCCCUCUUCUUUUCCUUUAAUUUUCAAUAGGAUGAAACUCUAGAACUCUUUGAUUAUGAUUGAAAGCAAGGUAAGUUACUUUUCAAUCUAUUGUUUUACGUAUGUUAUGAUGAAAUUAGGUAGUUUAAAGCCCCUUUAAAAUCCCUAGGAAUGAUCGUGGUCUG
Long non-coding RNA from Helianthus annuus (common sunflower), 377 nucleotides. RefSeq lists it as uncharacterized. NCBI's taxonomy places the organism in Eukaryota, Viridiplantae, Streptophyta, Magnoliopsida, Asterales, Asteraceae. The transcript has 3 exons. The record is from RefSeq and is a predicted model, not a curated record.